RNAcentral lists this ribosomal RNA (253 nucleotides) under uncultured bacterium. RNAcentral's name for it is "partial 16S ribosomal RNA". It matches the Rfam family "Bacterial small subunit ribosomal RNA", at positions 524 to 776 of the family's 1533-position model. The record is from RNAcentral.
UACGUAGGGGGCAAGCGUUGUCCGGAAUCAUUGGGCGUAAAGCGCGUGUAGGCGGCCCGAUAAGUCGGCGGGGAAAGUCCAGGGCUCAACCCUGGAAUGCCGGUGGAUACUGUCGGGCUCGAGUCCGGAAGAGGCGAGUGGAAUUCCUGGUGUAGCGGUGAAAUGCGCAGAUAUCAGGAGGAACACCGAUGGCGAAGGCAGCACUCUGGGACGUGACUGACGCUGAGACGCGAAAGCGUGGGGAGCAAACAGG